Molecule: ribosomal RNA, 627 nt
Filed under: Nocardiopsis sp.
Lineage: Bacteria; Bacillati; Actinomycetota; Actinomycetes; Streptosporangiales; Nocardiopsidaceae
Description: bacterial SSU rRNA
Rfam family: Bacterial small subunit ribosomal RNA
Source: RNAcentral
GACUGCACAUGCAGUCGUGACGAGGUGAAUGAACCCUUCGGGGUACACGAGCGGCGAACGGGUGAGUAACACGUGAGCAACCUGCCCCUGACUCUGGGAUAAGCGGUGGAAACGCCGUCUAAUACCGGAUACGACCCGCCACCUCAUGGUGGAGGGUGGAAAGUUUUUCGGUCAGGGAUGGGCUCGCGGCCUAUCAGCUUGUUGGUGGGGUAACGGCCUACCAAGGCGAUUACGGGUAGCCGGCCUGAGAGGGCGACCGGCCACACUGGGACUGAGACACGGCCCAGACUCCUGCGGGAGGCAGCAGUGGGGAAUAUUGCGCAAUGGGCGAAAGCCUGACGCAGCGACGCCGCGUGGGGGAUGACGGCCUUCGGGUUGUAAACCUCUUUUACCACCAACGCAGGCUCGAAGUUCUCUUCGGGUUGACGGUAGGUGGGGAAUAAGGACCGGCUAACUACGUGCCAGCAGCCGCGGUAAUACGUAGGGUCCGAGCGUUGUCCGGAAUUAUUGGGCGUAAAGAGCUCGUAGGCGGCGUGUCACGUCUGCUGUGAAAGACCGGGGCUUAACUCCGGUUCUGCAGUGGAUACGGGCAUGCUAGAGGUAGGUAGGGGAGACUGGAAUUCCUGG